RNAcentral lists this ribosomal RNA (1372 nucleotides) under uncultured bacterium. RNAcentral describes it as "bacterial SSU rRNA". It matches the Rfam family "Bacterial small subunit ribosomal RNA", at positions 28 to 1381 of the family's 1533-position model. The record is from RNAcentral.
GAUGAACGCUGGCGGCGUGCCUAAUACAUGCAAGUCGAGCGAACGGACGAGAAGCUUGCUUCUCUGAUGUUAGCGGCGGGCGGGUGAGUAACACGUGGAUAACCUACCUAUAAGACUGGGAUAACUUCGGGAAACCGGAGCUAAUACCGGAUAAUAUUUUGAACCGCAUGGUUCAAAAGUGAAAGACGGUCUUGCUGUCACUUAUAGAUGGAUCCGCGCUGCAUUAGCUAGUUGGUAUGGUAACGGCUUACCAAGGCAACGAUGCAUAGCCGACCUGAGAGGGUGAUCGGCCACACUGGAACUGAGACACGGUCCAGACUCCUACGGGAGGCAGCAGUAGGGAAUCUUCCGCAAUGGGCGAAAGCCUGACGGAGCAACGCCGCGUGAGUGAUGAAGGUCUUCGGAUCGUAAAACUCUGUUAUUAGGGAAGAACAUAUGUGUAAGUAACUGUGCACAUCUUGACGGUACCUAAUCAGAAAGCCACGGCUAACUACGUGCCAGCAGCCGCGGUAAUACGUAGGUGGCAAGCGUUAUCCGGAAUUAUUGGGCGUAAAGCGCGCGUAGGCGGUUUUUUAAGUCUGAUGUGAAAGCCCACGGCUCAACCGUGGAGGGUCAUUGGAAACUGGAAAACUUGAGUGCAGAAGAGGAAAGUGGAAUUCCAUGUGUAGCGGUGAAAUGCGCAGAGAUAUGGAGGAACACCAGUGGCGAAGGCGACUUUCUGGUCUGUAACUGACGCUGAUGUGCGAAAGCGUGGGGAUCAAACAGGAUUAGAUACCCUGGUAGUCCACGCCGUAAACGAUGAGUGCUAAGUGUUAGGGGGUUUCCGCCCCUUAGUGCUGCAGCUAACGCAUUAAGCACUCCGCCUGGGGAGUACGACCGCAAGGUUGAAACUCAAAGGAAUUGACGGGGACCCGCACAAGCGGUGGAGCAUGUGGUUUAAUUCGAAGCAACGCGAAGAACCUUACCAAAUCUUGACAUCCUUUGACAACUCUAGAGAUAGAGCCUUCCCCUUCGGGGGACAAAGUGACAGGUGGUGCAUGGUUGUCGUCAGCUCGUGUCGUGAGAUGUUGGGUUAAGUCCCGCAACGAGCGCAACCCUUAAGCUUAGUUGCCAUCAUUAAGUUGGGCACUCUAAGUUGACUGCCGGUGACAAACCGGAGGAAGGUGGGGAUGACGUCAAAUCAUCAUGCCCCUUAUGAUUUGGGCUACACACGUGCUACAAUGGACAAUACAAAGGGCAGCGAAACCGCGAGGUCAAGCAAAUCCCAUAAAGUUGUUCUCAGUUCGGAUUGUAGUCUGCAACUCGACUACAUGAAGCUGGAAUCGCUAGUAAUCGUAGAUCAGCAUGCUACGGUGAAUACGUUCCCGGGUCU